UUUGUGUUAAAACUUUCUGAAUAUAAAUUUCAUGUUGAGCUUUGAAAUUUAAAUAGAUU
Molecule: transfer RNA, 59 nt
Filed under: Guillardia theta
Lineage: Eukaryota; Cryptophyceae; Pyrenomonadales; Geminigeraceae
Source: RNAcentral